GCAGAGCAGAGGUCUUCCAGUGCUAGAGCUCAUGGGCUCUCUGAUUCUGUUGUCCCCACACCAGCAGCAGUAAUAUUUUAGACCCAUUCAGGGCCCUGUGCUAAGAGCCGGAGACAGUCUCAAUGCCUACUAUAGGUCCUGUCUGCUGAGGUCAAGAGUGUGAGGAAGGAAGUGAAUGCGCAUCCUGAUGGAGACACCUGAGACUGAAGAAAUCAGCGCUGAUCCUCGCCCACCCCAUCUUGUCUCACUUAGUGCUGGGCUCCGCUGCCCACCUGUGGUCUGAGAUGGGAGGACAGGGAGGUGAGCGCCGGCCCCUCCCUGCUCUGCUCCUGAAGUCCUUACCAUGACUACAAAUUUGCUAUUCACACAGGCUAAAUCACCAAAAAAGGUUUGUAUAGACAAAGCUACGACUUUUCCAGUAGUCAUGUAUGGAUGUGAGAGUUGGACUCUAAAGAAAGCUGAGGGAUGAAGAAUUGAUGCUUUUGAACUGUGGUGUUGGAGAAGACUCUGGAGAGUCCCUUGGACUGCAAGGAGAUCCAACCAGUCAGUCCUAAAGGAAGUCAGUCCUGAGUAUUCAUUGGAAGGACUGAUGCUGAAGCUGAAACUCCAAUACUUUGGCCACCAGAUGUGAAAGACUGACUCAUUUGAGAAGACCCUGAUGCUGGGAAAGAUUGAGGGCAGGAGGAGAAGGGGAUGACAGAAGAUGAGAUGGUUGGAUGGCAUCACCAACUCGAUAGACAUGAGUUUGAGCAGACUCCAGGAGUUGGUGAUGGACAGGGAUGCCUGACAUGCUGCAGUCCAUGGGGUCGCAAAGAAUCGGACACGACUGAGUGACUGAACUGAACUGAGCUGAAUUCAUCACCCAUUCUGUAUCCUUGAUCCUUGACAAGAGUCAUUCCCUGAGUCCUUUUAUCAGGGCUUUCGAAAUAUCUCUUAGCUCUAUAUUCUCUUCCCAGUGUGCUCUCCUUAGUUCUGGGAUUCCUCAGAUACUGCCCAGAUCAUUCCUGUGGCUCCCUAGCACUUUUCCUGUCCUUCUGAUAUCUUUUGUCCUUCUGUCCUGCUGAUCCUCUCUGAACCAUUCUCAACACUGCAGCCAAGUUAUUUUAUGAAAACUGAAUGAAUCUAAUUGUCUUAUCCCUUGCUACUACUUCUCAUGUUUUCUCCAUACUGACGAUAAAAGUCCAAACUCUUUAGAGUGGCAUGCGUCUUUGUGUUGUUUGCAAAGGACAUAAGUUGACUCCCCCCGAAAAGAAAGAGUAUUUAUUAAAAGUUACCAAGUGGUAACACAUAGCACACAGAGGCAGGAAGCACACCUGAAGAACCUUGCUCACAAGCCAGGUGCUAUCAUGUCUCUGCUUCUCUCUGAGCACGUGUUCUAUCAUCUUGUUUCUCUCUGCAGACCUGUGAGCUCUACUUCAGGAAGCACAUGGUGGAG
Bos taurus (domestic cattle) is the source of this 1435-nucleotide long non-coding RNA. The record is from Ensembl. Lineage: Eukaryota; Metazoa; Chordata; Mammalia; Artiodactyla; Bovidae.